Long non-coding RNA from Dreissena polymorpha, 157 nucleotides. RefSeq lists it as uncharacterized. The record is from RefSeq and is a predicted model, not a curated record. Lineage: Eukaryota; Metazoa; Mollusca; Bivalvia; Myida; Dreissenidae. The transcript has 3 exons.
CAGUGAAAUGCAGAUUGCAGAAAUGAGCUCCCCACAUAUCUUUCGAAUGCAAUCGGUUCAUACAUCGACGAGGAAAGUUGAAAGAUGCCAGUGGGGCUGACGCAGUUAUGUAUAAAGUAUCUGAUAAGACCAGAAGAUCAAGUAGUUUGGCCAUGUU